AGCGCCACCGGAUCCACCGCGCGGGUGACCACCAAAUAGUCGCGCAUGACAAUGGCGUGCCGGUUCUC
Molecule: small RNA, 68 nt
Filed under: Nocardia brasiliensis ATCC 700358
Lineage: Bacteria; Bacillati; Actinomycetota; Actinomycetes; Mycobacteriales; Nocardiaceae
Description: ASdes TB sRNA
Rfam family: ASdes TB sRNA
Source: Rfam by way of RNAcentral